RNAcentral lists this ribosomal RNA (503 nucleotides) under uncultured bacterium. RNAcentral describes it as "partial 16S ribosomal RNA". It matches the Rfam family "Bacterial small subunit ribosomal RNA", at positions 28 to 523 of the family's 1533-position model. The record is from RNAcentral.
GAUGAACGCUGGCGGCAGGCUUAACACAUGCAAGUCGAGCGGGGUGAUGGUGCUUGCACUAUCACUUAGCGGCGGACGGGUGAGUAAUGCUUAGGAAUCUGCCUAUUAGUGGGGGACAACAUCUCGAAAGGGAUGCUAAUACCGCAUACGUCCUACGGGAGAAAGCAGGGGAUCACUUGUGACCUUGCGCUAAUAGAUGAGCCUAAGUCGGAUUAGCUAGUUGGUGGGGUAAAGGCCUACCAAGGCGACGAUCUGGAGCGGGUCUGAGAGGAUGAUCCGCCACACUGGGACUGAGACACGGCCCAGACGCCUACGGGAGGCAGCAGUGGGGAAUAUUGGACAAUGGGGGGUACCCUGAUCCAGCCAUGCCGCGUGUGUGAAGAAGGCCUUAUGGUUGUAAAGCACUUUAAGCGAGGAGGAGGCUCUUUUGGUUAAUACCCAAGAUGAGUGGACGUUACUCGCAGAAUAAGCACCGGCUAACUCUGUGCCAGCCGCCGCCGUAA